This 105-nucleotide small nuclear RNA is filed under the name Vicugna pacos (alpaca). The record is from RNAcentral. Lineage: Eukaryota; Metazoa; Chordata; Mammalia; Artiodactyla; Camelidae.
GUGUUGGUUUCGGCAGCACAUAUCUAAAUGGGAAAGAUACAGAGAAGAUUGGCAUGGCCCUUGUACAAGGAUGACACACAUGGAUUAAAAAAAAAGAAAAAAUUA